GGGCCAUGCCCACAGCAUACAGGGGUUCCCAGGCUAGAGGUCCAAUCCAAGCUGUAGCUGCCAGCCUACACCACAGCCAAGCAAUGCAGGAUCUGAGACGCAUCUGUGAUCUACACCACAGAUCACGGUAACGCCAGAUCCUUAACCCACUGAGCAAAGCCAGCGAUUGAACCUGUGUCCUCAGAUUCAUUAACCGCUGAGCCAUGAAGGGAACUCCAAACUUUUUUUUUUUUCUUUUUACAACUGCACCUGCAGCAUAUGGAAGUUCCCGGGCCAGGAGCGGAAUUGGAGCUGCAGAUGCCGGCCUACACCAGAGCCACAGCAACACCAGAUCUGAGCUGAAUCUGUGACCUAUGCGGCAGCUUGCAGCAAUGCUGGAUUCUUAACACGCUGAUCGAGGCCAGGGAUCGAACCCGCAUCCUCAUGGAGACUAUGUCAGGUCUUUAGCCCACUAAGCCACAAUGGGCACUCCGUGGGCUUAAACUUUUAGAUGGUUGUGUUUUGUUCGGUUUGGUUUUUGUCGGGGAGGGGCAGUGGGGUGAUAAAGAGAGUGAAGCUGUUCCUUCUGGAGCUGGAAAGCACACAAGUUAGUGGCCACAGGGGCACUCUCAUUUUGAGACCAUGCCAUAUCCCAUGAAAAUCUAGAGAGGGGUUUUCUCGAGUCGGCAGGUCCAGGCUGGUGGGUUAAAGGAAAGAGAGAGGGCACAAAAGAUAAGUAAUCUCAGAACGUAGGGCUCAGAAGCAAAGAACAGAAAACUCAAUGGAUACAAAGAAAGAAAGAAAUCACUGCACAGUGUGCCAGGGCUGCAGCAGCCCAGACACACCUGGCAGCCUGGGACUCGGAGGGAAGCAGUGUCAGAUGCCAUGGGAGAAGUGGCACCAAGUACCUGCUCCUGGUGCCCCUGGGGCCCACCUCAAGUGAGGGGGAGAAAGGUCUUUGUGGUUUUGUGGUAUGUGUUUCAAAAGUUAAGAAUCUAAUUUUUAUUAAAAUGGCAAGAUCACUGUGUCAAAAAAAAGAAAAAAAGAAAAAGGAAUCAAGUCUCAGAACAGCAUGGAAAAGAGCAGAGAAACAGUGGGAAAGAUCCCCACCUAUUCCUUCUGCAGCAACACACCAAAACAACUAUGUCUUUUCAUGAGACAUACGUAAAAAGGGCCUCUACCUAUUAUAAUAUAUUUAUAACCCUGCUAAAGAGAAGUCUUAUGCACUUGAAACAAUCAUUAGGGAAUCCCAAGCAACCUUUAAAUGCUAAAUAUAAUCUUGCAAUUACAAAAAAUAACUGGAUAGACAUGCCAAUUUUAUUAGUACAGCUAAACUAGGAAAAACGCAGGUAGAGCUAAACAAAAUUGAUGCAAAAGAACCAAAAGUGUUGAGAGUAUCAUGUGUGGAAAAAAGUUUUUAAGUUCCAAAGCACUGCAAACCACGGAAAGGGUAAGUUCUUUUCUUUGCAUUUCCACUGACUCUAAAAAUAAACCUCUAAAAUUUUCCAGUCUAUAAAAGAAAUAUAAGCUCUUUAUUUUAAAAUAUUCCAACACUACAUAAAUGCAUCAUAUAGAAAACCAUAACCAUCCCCUAUGGAGGUAACCAGUGUUAAUAGUUGGGUAACAACUGCUUUUUUGACUACUUGAGACAAAGGAAUAGGAGAGCUGCUCUGAACCAGUUUAUAUACUAUUUCAGUUUCCCCUUUGAAACCCUUCCUACUACUCCACUGCUAAGGAGGCAGAAAAGGAAAAAUAACACCCAAAACACAUGCUGAUCCUCCAAAACAGGCAAACCACAAACAAGAUUAAUCCUUGGAAAAAAGAAAGGGGGAGGGGUGGGACUUGGCAAAACUAUUACACUAAGUGGCAGAAACAAAUAUUACUGGAAUUUGAAAAAUGGAGUAAAAGUAGGAAAAAUGCUAACCUUUCCUUUGUGCUGUCCUCAAUAAUCAAAAACGGGGAUAGCACUUUUUUCUUGAGAGAAAACUGAAGUAACCUCUAUAAUUAUCAAUGUUUUUUUUAGCUUUUAAAGAAUGUUGUAGGAGUUCCCUCAUGGCUCAGUGGGUUAAGGAUCUAGCAUUGCACUGCUGUGGCUUGGGUUUGACCCCUAGCCCAGGAACUUCCAUAUGCCAUAGGCAUGGCCGGAAAAAAAAAAAGAAAAAGAAAAAAAAAUGUUGUACAAAUUAGGAUUUCUGGAGCGCCAGAAGUAAGGAAGUGCUCAAAAAACACACACUAAUGAGCAAAUGGCAAAGGAACACAAGAGCCAACAAAAAGCUUGCAGCUUCCAGAGCUAAAAAAAUGAUAAUGACAAAAUAAUGUAAUAUUAGAUUAUAACCUAAAGUAUAAAAUAAAUAUCCACAAGUCCAUACUACUAUAAAUAAGUGAUAAAAUAAGUAAAUGGGGGAGAACAGACACAUUUCCCAAGCAGAAUUCCAAAUAACUUGUGUAAAUACUUUGCCCCCAAGGAGGCGGAGCAUAACUGCUGCCACUUUUAGUGUGGGCUGCACACUGACUUCCUUCCAAAAAUAACAGUAGGAAAAGCGGGGGAGAAAAAAAUAACCUCACGGUGGAGAAACUUGACAAACACUCCCUCAGUCAGGUGAUCAAUAUCACAUCAACAGCGAUAAGUCACAUUGCUAGUGUGUACUUUUACUAAAAAAUGCUAUGAGAACGGCAUUUUACCUCUGUGGUCUUCCUCUGCUAAACCUGUAAGUACAGCCUAAUCAUGAGGAAAACAUCACAUAAAUCCCAAUUGUGGGACAGUCUACAAAACACCUACGCAGUACUCCUCAAAACUGUCAAGCUCAUCACAAUCAAGGCCCGUCCAGAAACUGUCACAGCCAAGAGGAGUCUCACGACACAACAGCUAAAUGUAAUGUGGGAUCCUGGAAGGGAUCCUGUUAGAAAAAGGACAGCAACACAACUUAGAAUAGAUUUACAAGGAGAUCCUGCUGAAUAGCAUUGAGAACUAUGUCCAGACACUCAUGUUGCAACAGAACAAAGGGUGGGGAAAAAAAUGUAAUUGUAACGUAUACAUGUAAGGAUAACUUGAUCCCCCUUGCUGUACAGUGGGAAAAUAAAUUAAAAAAAAGAAAUUAAAAAAAAAGAAAAAGGAUAGCAAGUGAAAACUAAGGGAAUACGAACAAAAAGAUGUUGGAGUUCCUAUUGUGGCUCAACAGUAACGAGUCCAACUAGUAUCCAUGUGGACUUGGGUUCAAUCCCUGGCCUUGCUACCAUGAGCCAUGGUGUAGGUUGCAGAUGUGGCUUGGAUCUGGCAUUACUGUAGCUGUGGCUUAGGCCAGCUCCGAUUAGGCUCCUAGCCUGGGAACAUCCAUAUGCUGUUCGAUCCCUGGCCUCGCUCAGUGGGUCAAGGAUCCGGUGUUGCUGUGAGCUGUGGUGUAGGUUACAGAUGUGGCUCAGAUUCCACGUUGCUGUGGCUGUGGCAUAGGUUGGGAGCUAUAGUUCUGAUUCGACCCUGGGAACUUCCAUAUGCUGUGGAUGCAGCCCCAAAAAACAAACAAAAAAACCUAAAAAAAAUAUCUAAAACGAGGGUAAGAGUAUAUCAUUUUUAGGGCCACACCUGUGGCAUAUGGAGGUUCCCAGGCCAGGGGUCUAAUUGAAGCUACAGCUGCCGGCCUACACCACAGCCACAGCAAC
This 3636-nucleotide long non-coding RNA is filed under the name Sus scrofa (pig). RNAcentral describes it as "lncRNA (ENSSSCG00015022187.1)". The record is from RNAcentral. Lineage: Eukaryota; Metazoa; Chordata; Mammalia; Artiodactyla; Suidae.